This 83-nucleotide transfer RNA is filed under the name Schistocephalus solidus. It matches the Rfam family "tRNA". From Rfam's summary of the family: Transfer RNA (tRNA) molecules are approximately 80 nucleotides in length. Their secondary structure includes four short double-helical elements and three loops (D, anti-codon, and T loops). Further hydrogen bonds mediate the characteristic L-shaped molecular structure. tRNAs have two regions of fundamental functional importance: the anti-codon, which is responsible for specific mRNA codon recognition, and the 3' end, to which the tRNAs corresponding amino acid is attached (by aminoacyl-tRNA synthetases). tRNAs cope with the degeneracy of the genetic code in two manners: having more than one tRNA (with a specific anti-codon) for a particular amino acid; and 'wobble' base-pairing, i.e. permitting non-standard base-pairing at the 3rd anti-codon position. Lineage: Eukaryota; Metazoa; Platyhelminthes; Cestoda; Diphyllobothriidea; Diphyllobothriidae. The record is from Rfam by way of RNAcentral.
GGCAUCGUAGCUCAGUGUGCUAGAGCUUUGGCUGAACUAACGCCUUCAUCUUGCUGGCGUGGGUUUGAAUCCCACCGAUGCCA